AGCUGAUCCAGCCAUGCCGCGUGUGUGAAGAAGGUCUUCGGAUUGUAAAGCACUUUAACCUGGGAGGAAGGGCAGUAAGUUAAUACCUUGCUGUUUUGACGUUACCGACAGAAUAAGCACCGGCUAACUUCGUGCCAGCAGCCGCGGUAAUACGAAGGGUGCAAGCGUUAAUCGGAAUUACUGGGCGUAAAGCGCGCGUAGGUGGUUUGUUAAGUUGGAUGUGAAAGCCCCGGGCUCAACCUGGGAACUGCAUCCAAAACUGGCAAGCUAGAGUAUGGCAGAGGGUGGUGGAAUUUCCUGUGUAGCGGUGAAAUGCGUAGAUAUAGGAAGGAACACCAGUGGCGAAGGCGACCACCUGGGCUAAUACUGACACUGAGGUGCGAAAGCGUGGGGAGCAAACAGGAUUAGAUACCCCAGUAGUCA
Molecule: ribosomal RNA, 423 nt
Filed under: Pseudomonas sp.
Lineage: Bacteria; Pseudomonadati; Pseudomonadota; Gammaproteobacteria; Pseudomonadales; Pseudomonadaceae
Description: bacterial SSU rRNA
Rfam family: Bacterial small subunit ribosomal RNA
Source: RNAcentral